UACGGGGGGGGCAAGCGUUGUUCGGAAUUACUGGGCGUAAAGGGUUCGUAGGUGGCCAACUAAGUCAGACGUGAAAUCCCUCGGCUUAACCGGGGAACUGCGUCUGAUACUGGAUGGCUUGAGUUUGGGAGAGGGAUGCGGAAUUCCAGGUGUAGCGGUGAAAUGCGUAGAUAUCUGGAGGAACACCGGUGGCGAAGGCGGCAUCCUGGACCAACACUGACACUGAUGAGCGAAAGCCAGGGGAGCAAACGGG
Molecule: ribosomal RNA, 253 nt
Filed under: uncultured bacterium
Lineage: Bacteria
Description: partial 16S ribosomal RNA
Rfam family: Bacterial small subunit ribosomal RNA
Source: RNAcentral